This 441-nucleotide small RNA is filed under the name Arabidopsis thaliana (thale cress). RNAcentral's name for it is "ATSL198410". The record is from RNAcentral. Lineage: Eukaryota; Viridiplantae; Streptophyta; Magnoliopsida; Brassicales; Brassicaceae.
GGAAUUCUCAUUCGGACUUCGGCUACACCAUCAAUGCUUUGAGAAGCAAUAAGAAGCUUGGUUAGUAUUUUGGAGUCAAAUAAGACAAGAUGUUAUGUGUUUGAUUGAGUAUAAGAACUAGAACCGCAACAUCUUCCCAAAAGCUAAAGUAAUGUUUCCCUUCUAGAAGAUACAAAGCCAAAAACUCAUACAGACUUCGGCUACACCAUCAAAGCUUUAAGAAGCAACAAGAGUUUUGGUUAGUGUUUUGGAGUCAAAUAAGACUAUAUGUCAUCUGUAGUAUUGAAUAUAAGAACUAGAAUCGCAACCGGUUCCCAAAACCCAAAGUAGUGUUUCCUUGUUAGAAGAUAGAAAGCCAAAUACUCAUACGGACUUUGGCUUCACCAUAAAAGUUUUGAGAAACAAUAAGAAGCUUGGUUAGUGUUUUCGAGUCAAAUAUGA